AGUCUCAGCGUACACGGCUUUCAACAGUGGGUCUGUGAAUGGCUCCUUACAUCAGCAGUCAUCUCCACGAUAGAGUGUGGUUGGCACCGCCCCUGCCAGGUGCCCUCUCGGACAUCCUCCGAAACCCAGUGGCUAAUACACGGUCGCCCCGGUCUGCCGCACACACUCGGCGCCGUCAGGGCUCGCCCUCGGCGGCGCCUCGUGGUGGAUUGCACCCAGCUGCUCGAAAGACCAGCGCCUGAAAAUGGCAGUGUGUCGUGGCUGACUCAGGCUGGUCCCGAAGAUGGAUGGACGGAGCUCUGGCAGAGUGGUGGCCUCGAGCCACAGCAUUGCUUGAUCGCACGAACUUCUGACCUAUCAGCUAUGACUGUCGUGUAGUGGACGACAGUGGCUAUGACGGGUAACGGAGAAUCAGGGUUCGAUUCCGGAGAGGGAGCCUGAGAGACGGCUACCACUACCAAGGUGGGCAGCAGGCACGCAAAUUGCCCAAUGCCGAUACGGUCCCGGUGAGGCAGCGACGAACUGCAGCAAUCCCGCGUGUCCUCAGCGACAAGUGUGACUUGUAAUGGAUGCAAUCCAAACACAGCGAUGAGUAUCGACUGGAGGGCAAGUCUGGUGCCAGCAGCCGCGGUAAUUCCAGCUCCAAGAGUGUAUACUAACAUUGCUGCUGUUAAAACACUUGUAGUCGGACGCUGGGUGCAGGUCUGCCAGGUGGCCGGUCGUGGCCGGUUCGGAGGCCC
This 740-nucleotide ribosomal RNA is filed under the name Phacus paraorbicularis. RNAcentral describes it as "SSU rRNA". It matches the Rfam family "Eukaryotic small subunit ribosomal RNA", at positions 56 to 688 of the family's 1831-position model. Lineage: Eukaryota; Euglenozoa; Euglenophyceae; Euglenales; Phacaceae. The record is from RNAcentral.